CUUUGCACUCGCUAAACUUGCCAUAUGUCACAGGGUGUAAUGAACUAAAGGAACUUCAUUCGCUGUUCUCGGCUCAGAUUACAGUGAACAGCACAGUGCUUUGGUGUCCCUGGGUGCUUACAAGAAUCAGACUCCUUUAAAAGAUGUGCCCUCUGCAUAUUUAAUGUUUUGGGGUGAAGUCCCUGGAGGUAUUAUCAGCUAGCACAAAGCACCGGCAGCACGCUGGCCUUGCCCUCCCCAGCUCAGGGUCUGCCUACGCCUAUUCCCCGCUUGUCCAAAGUUUGCUGCAGAGAGACUGAACCUGAUGGGGACACCCAAGGAGCCAGC
This is a long non-coding RNA of Rhea pennata, 327 nucleotides long. RefSeq lists it as uncharacterized. The record is from RefSeq and is a predicted model, not a curated record. The transcript is spliced from 3 exons. Lineage: Eukaryota; Metazoa; Chordata; Aves; Rheiformes; Rheidae.